RNAcentral lists this long non-coding RNA (77 nucleotides) under Crocodylus porosus (Australian saltwater crocodile). Its description in RNAcentral is "Mammalian CPEB3 ribozyme (ENSCPRG00005003808.1)". It matches the Rfam family "Mammalian CPEB3 ribozyme". From Rfam's summary of the family: The mammalian CPEB3 ribozyme is a self cleaving RNA located in the second intron of the CPEB3 gene which belongs to a family of genes regulating messenger RNA polyadenylation. This ribozyme is highly conserved and found only in mammals. The record is from Rfam by way of RNAcentral. Lineage: Eukaryota; Metazoa; Chordata; Crocodylia; Crocodylidae.
GGUUGAAAGUUCAAGGCCAUAGCAGAAGCUGUCAUGGUGUGGCUCUGUCAGGUUCCAACAAAUCUGAGACUUCUGCU